AGGAAGUAAAAGUCGUAACAAGGUUUCCGUAGGUGAACCUGCGGAAGGAUCAUUACCGAGAGUUGCAGGCUUUUGUCUGCCAUCUCUUACCCAUGUCUUUUGCGUACUACACGUUUCCUCGGCAGGUCCGCCUGCCGUUAGGACCACAUUAAACCAUUGGCAGUUGCAGUCAGCGUCUGAAAAACUUAAUAAUUACAACUUUUAACAACGGAUCUCUUGGUUCUGGCAUCGAUGAAGAACGCAGCGAAAUGCGAUAAGUAGUGUGAAUUGCAGAAUUCAGUGAAUCAUCGAAUCUUUGAACGCACAUUGCGCCCCUUGGUAUUCCAUGGGGCAUGCCUGUUCGAGCGUCAUUUGUACCUUCAAGCUCUGCUUGGUGUUGGGUGUUUGUCCCGCCUUUGUGCGCGGACUCGCCUUAAAGCAAUUGGCAGCCGGCGUAUUAGUUUCGGAGCGCAGCACAAAUCGCGCUCUGUGUCUUAUACGGUAGCAUCCAUCAAGA
RNAcentral lists this unclassified non-coding RNA (496 nucleotides) under Neoascochyta exitialis. Its description in RNAcentral is "sequence contains 18S rRNA gene, ITS1, 5.8S rRNA gene, ITS2, 28S rRNA gene". The stretch from base 197 to 350 matches the Rfam family "5.8S ribosomal RNA". The record is from RNAcentral. Lineage: Eukaryota; Fungi; Ascomycota; Dothideomycetes; Pleosporales; Didymellaceae.